Molecule: long non-coding RNA, 914 nt
Filed under: Homo sapiens (human)
Lineage: Eukaryota; Metazoa; Chordata; Mammalia; Primates; Hominidae
Description: HSALNT0077851
Source: RNAcentral
ACUUCUAUGAACUUUUAUGAACUGUAACACUCACCGCAAAGGUCUGCAGCUUCACCCCUGAGGCCAGGGAGACCACGAACCCACCGGAAGGAAUGAACAACUCCAGACGCACUGCCUUUAAGAGCUGUAACACUUACCACGGAUGUCUGCAGCUUCACUCCUGAAGUCAGCGAGACCACAAACCCAACAGAAGGAAGAAACUCCCGACACAUCUGAACAUCUGAAGGAACAAACUCUGGACACACCAUCUUUAAGAACUGUAACACUCACCGUGAGGGUCAACCGCUUCAUUCUUGAAGUCAGCCAGACCAAGAACCCACCAAUUCCGGUUUCACUGACUAGAAUUACCAGUACUAUGUCAAAUAAGAGUGACUAGUUUGGACAUAUUUUUUCACAAUCCUGGUAGAAUAAAAGCAUUCAUUUUUUCAUGGUUAAGUAUAUGACUGGUGAAUGCCAGAUGCCUCUAGUGAGCCACCUUGAAUCACUAUUCUGAAUACAUCUUGAGUAAAAAGAGAAAAUUGCUCAUGUUUCCAUGGCUAUCUGAAUCAUGUUAUUGGACCAUGAGAGCAAGCAGCUGGAUCUCAUUCUGUCCAGGACUCCUGGAAACAGCAGCUCUAACAAAAUUGUCUUCAAUAAAUAAGUUUUUUUGCAUCACAUCUAUUGCUAAGGCAGGCUGGCUGCCUUCAUCUUCCCCAGUAUUCUAGGAUAACCUCAAAGAAAUCACAACAGCUUGUUUUCUACAAUUAAAACAUUUGGGUUUUGAUAGUGUGCAUGGUCUACAAAGAAGUGAGAAGUGUAGCUGUUUGUAUGGAAUCUUAUGGUGAACAUUGCUGGCUCCAACAUAUAACUUGAUUGGUGCGACAUCAAGGUAAAUGAAUCCUCAAAGAGCUAGCAAAUGGAUCAAAUAAAAGUAU